RNAcentral lists this ribosomal RNA (467 nucleotides) under uncultured bacterium. RNAcentral describes it as "partial 16S ribosomal RNA". It matches the Rfam family "Bacterial small subunit ribosomal RNA", at positions 28 to 507 of the family's 1533-position model. The record is from RNAcentral.
GACGAACGCUGGCGGCGUGCUUAACACAUGCAAGUCGAACGGAAAGGCCCUGCUUUUGUGGGGUGCUCGAGUGGCGAACGGGUGAGUAACACGUGAGUAACCUGCCCUUGACUUUGGGAUAACUUCAGGAAACUGGGGCUAAUACCGGAUAGGAGCUCCUGCUGCAUGGUGGGGGUUGGAAAGUUUCGGCGGUUGGGGAUGGACUCGCGGCUUAUCAGCUUGUUGGUGGGGUAGUGGCUUACCAAGGCUUUGACGGGUAGCCGGCCUGAGAGGGUGACCGGCCCCAUGGGACCGGGGUUCCGGCCAGGCCUCUUACGGGGGGCAGGGGGGGGGAUUAUGGCACAAGGGGCGAAGCCUUGAUCAGGCACCGCGCGGUGCGGGAUGCGGGCUUUCGGUUUGAAACCCGUUUUGGCUUGGGACGAGCGGUGGGGGCGGUAAUUGGUAAAGAAGCACCGGCUAACUACGUG